Molecule: unclassified non-coding RNA, 351 nt
Filed under: uncultured fungus
Lineage: Eukaryota; Fungi
Description: partial contains 5.8S ribosomal RNA and internal transcribed spacer 2
Rfam family: 5.8S ribosomal RNA (bases 1-134)
Source: RNAcentral
UGGUUCUGGCAUCGAUGAAGAACGCAGCGAAAUGCGAUAAGUAAUGCGAAUUGCAGAAUUCCAGUGAGUCAUCGAAUCUUUGAACGCACAUUGCGCCCUUUGGUAUUCCGAAGGGCAUGCCUGUUCGAGCGUCAUUAUCACCCCUCAAGCCCCGUGCUUGGUGUUGGACGGCCGGUCGAGGUCUCACCCUCGACCGCCUCCUCAAGGCAAUGACGGCGGCCUGUGGUUCCCCCGGUACACUGAGCUUCUCACCGAGCACGUACCGGACAAGGGCGCCCAGGACCCGGUCUUCUCCUCUCGCGAGGAAAUAAUUACAAGGUUGACCUCGGAUCAGGUAGGAAUACGCGCUGA